Molecule: ribosomal RNA, 253 nt
Filed under: uncultured bacterium
Lineage: Bacteria
Description: partial 16S ribosomal RNA
Rfam family: Bacterial small subunit ribosomal RNA
Source: RNAcentral
UACGUAGGGUGCGAGCGUUAAUCGGAAUUACUGGGCGUAAAGCGUGCGCAGGCGGUUAUGUAAGACCGAUGUGAAAUCCCCGGGCUUAACCUGGGAACUGCAUUGGUGACUGCAUCGCUCGAGUAUGGCAGAGGGGGGUAGAAUUCCACGUGUAGCAGUGAAAUGCGUAGAGAUGUGGAGGAAUACCGAUGGCGAAGGCAGCCCCCUGGGUCAAUACUGACGCUCAUGCACGAAAGCGUGGGGAGCAAACGGG